UUUCUGUAGGUGAACCUGCAGAAGGAUCAUUACCACCCGAUCGCACGGGACGGGGGGCUCGCCCCCCCGCCCAACGCGACGCAGGAAAAGGAGGCGACCACGUCCGCACCCCGUGCCCUGCAGGUGGCUGCCACCACGGCAGCAGCGGGCACGGCGCGGAGGGGAGGAGGAGAGGGAGAGAGUGGAGAGUUAAGGGCGAUCACAACCCUGAACAACGGAUAUCUUGGUUCCGGCAUGAUGAAGAACGCAGC
Molecule: unclassified non-coding RNA, 251 nt
Filed under: plant metagenome
Description: partial contains small subunit ribosomal RNA, internal transcribed spacer 1, and 5.8S ribosomal RNA
Source: RNAcentral